Molecule: non-coding RNA, 5633 nt
Organism: Carica papaya (papaya)
Lineage: Eukaryota; Viridiplantae; Streptophyta; Magnoliopsida; Brassicales; Caricaceae
Source: RefSeq, a predicted model, not a curated record
UGAAACAAAACCAGCCACCAUUAUCAUGAACAUUCUCUAUAGGAAAACUGAGAUUUAUUUCACCGACGUAAUACUCAAAUCUCACAUACAAUCACUAUGCAAUCAAGGGAGCUUGCAUUGAUCAAAUCCCAAUUACACCCUUCUCUUUACAUGAAAAUUUUGCAACUUCUGCAUUGAUCAAAGUGCCCAGAAACCAGCUAAUUUGAUUCAUGCCCACGUUAUAACCAGUGAGUUCGGUUCAGAUGUCCAUUUGAACACCAAACUGAUCAUCUUUUAUUCGAAGGUUAGGGAUGUGGUUUCAGCUCGCAAAGUGUUCGAUAAAAUGACUGAAAGAAGUGUUGUUUCAUGGACAGCAAUGGUUUCUGGGUAUCCCAAGUUGGGUAUCACGAGAAUGCGUUGUCUCUGUUUCUGAGAUGGUAGGGUGGGUGUAAAGGCCAACCAGUUUACUUAUGGGAGCGCAUUGAGAGCGUGUACUGCAUUGAAGUGUUUGCAGGGAGGUAUGCAAAUACAAGGGUGUGUGCAGAAAGGUAGAUUUGUUGAGGACGUUUUUGUUUAGACUGCAUUACUUGAUUUGCAUGCCAAAUGCGGGAAGAUGGAAGGAGCACGAGUUUUGUUUGACACAAUGUCAAAAAAGGACGUGGUUUCUUGGAAUGGGAUGAUUGGAGGAUAGUCUUUCAGUUGUUUCGAUUGAUGAUGAGGGAAGGUACAAUGUGAAGUUGUAUAAACAUCAAACAAAUCCCUCACUAUCCCUUGAACCCAGUACCAUUCCCAAAUUUUGAUUAUAAAGGAUAGUAAACUAUCAAUUUUACACAAAAUGGCAAUGGCUGACACAGUCCUUGUCUCCUCCUUCUCUCCUUCCCGUUCACCAUAUCUUACAUCUGCCACUCACACAACACUUUUAUAGGCGUAAGGAAGAGGCAAAAUGGUUGGUUGGGAGCGGAAAAAUAAAUGGGGCCAUGAGAUGGGUAACUGGAAAAUCAACUACCACUCCAACAUGAAUCAAAGGUCAACAUGUCUAGUUUCCAAACACUCAUAUGCGGUGGUAACUUAAAACAACAGCAAAAGAAUAUACACACACCAAAUCCUAGCACAAUAGAUUUGGUCCUUAGUUUCCAUCACAUCACUACCAUGUUACAUAUACUAAACUUAUAGGAUUAUCAUCUUUCUUCUUCACUCCCUUGCCCUCCGAAGGUGCUGCAUGAAGCUUCCUAACUCCUCUCUGAAAUUAGGGUCUCUACUCUGUAUAUGAUCCUCUCUCUCUGCAAUUGUAAUACUCUAUGUUGCUUGCACCUCUUCACCUGGAUUUUCCAUGAGGGCCACCUCUUCCUUGUGAAUGACUCUCCCCUUUUCUUGAGUUCUCUGCAACUAAUGCAUGCUCCCCCCUGAACAUUCCUUUUUUCCCCAUAAUUUUCUCACUCUCCCUCAGUUGGGUACGACAUCAUCAAGCUUUUAUGUUGUUAUGUUAACAAAUAUUGUUUGCACUACUAGUUUAUAAGAUUUGGGGGAGGAAGCUGUUACAGAAUGUAAAUCAUAGUAAUUAACUAGGGUUUAAUUAGGUUAAAGGAUGUCGUAAUAAAAUAUUUCUCUAUGUAAUUAAUAUAUAUAAGGUCAUGAUAUUUAAUAAUUACAUAAUAAAUCAUUCUUAACAUGGUACAAGAGAUUUAGGAAAAAUAUCUAUAUCUCUUUUCAAAUCAUAAUCAGCAUUCAUUUCCGAAAUAAGAAAAUUACAGUGAACCUCCAACUGGGCCGACCUUCAUAGCCGGCCACCAUGACCACCACCACUGCUGGCCUUCAUAGCCAGCCACCAGCCUGAUAAGCCAUCUUCACCAAUUGCUCUCUGCAGCUGUGAGCCAGACCAGCAACGCAACCAACCAAGACGCUUGCGCCUUGGUGCGCCUAUUCUAGUCGCACCUCCACCAUAACCGUGCGAGCUAGGACAACCUGUGGCUGUUGUCCACUGCACCAGCAGCCACCUAUCCUCAUUAGCUCCUUAUUCAGCACGACUAUUUCGUUUUCUCCCUUAUAAAAUUGUCCUUAAUUCACCCAGAAAAUUCUGCUCAUGUCGAAGAUCACGUCCCAAGCCCCCGGCACAAAGCAUAAUGUGGCAAAUUCGCAGCAAUCAACUAGAUAAUUUGAAUAAAUUCAGGUUGCCUACUGCCUGAAUAAGAAAAUCACUUUAAUUGGUCACAAUCGAUUCUGGCAAUCCUUAAAGAAAAAUUCAUACUUAGCUAUUUUCUAGGAUUGGAGCACAAUAGAGAGACCUACAAUUUGAUGCCUGGGAUAAAGAAAAUUUGAUGAUAAUGAUUUGGUUCUAGAAUUUAUGUUCUUGACCACUGCUAAAGAAGUUUGGGAAGCAGUCAGAUAAACUUAUUGCAGAGUAAAAGAUGUAGCUCAGAUCUAUAAUUUAACAAUUAAAAUAUGAUCUUGAAAACAAGAAAAUUAGCGAUAGAGUAUGUUAAUCUACUAAAGAAUUGGUUGCAAGAAUUAGAUUAGUAAAGCUGCCUUACCAUAAGAAAGCACUUCUAAGCUCAAAUAAUCUCCUAGAGUAUAGUUUCGUAAAUGGCAAAUGUAAGGUUAAGCAUGGGAUACAAUCGAAGUCAAGAAAACCAUACCCUAUUGAUCAAACACUCUAUUUUAGGGGAGAUUUAUAGUUCUCCUACUGUAUGUUGAUGAUAUCAUUAUGACAGGUGAUGAUGAAAAAGAAAAACAAAUAGUCAAACAGUGUCUGGCUAAGAAGUUUGAGAUUAAGGAAUUGAAAAGCUGAAAUAUUUAAUUGGAAAUGAAGUUACUCACAUAAAAUCAGAAAUCUUUAUCUCAUAAUAAAAAUAUAUCAAUAAUAUGCUAAAAGAUAUAGGCAAGCUGACAUGUAAACCUAUUAGUACUUCUAUUGAUUCCAACCAUAAGUUGGGACUUGCAGAAGAAGAUACAAAGGUAAACAAGGAAAUGUACUAGUGAUUAGUUGGAAGAUUAAUAUAUUUGUUGCACACAAGACUAGAUUUUACCUAUAUAGUAAGUGUAAUAAGUCAAUUCAUACACAACUCUGAAAAGCUACGUUUACAAGCAAUAUGUAGAGUAUGUACAUUACUUGAAGGGAACACCUGGGGUGUUAUGUUUAAAAGAAAUAACAGGUUACUUAUUGAAAUCUGUACCGAUGUAGAUUAUGCCGGACCAAUAGUGGACAAAAGAUUUACUAUAGGUUAUUAUUUCUUAGGGGUAAUUUGGUCAUCUGGAGAAGCAAAAAAUAAAAUAUAGUCGCAAGAUUAGUAUUGAGUCAGAAUUUGAGUAGUGGUACAAGGAUUAUGUGAGUUGCUACGUUAAAAAUGAAAUGGACCUACACGUCUCUAUUGUGGUAACAAGUCAACUAUAAGUAUUGCUCAUAAUUCAGUAUAACAUGAUGUAACAAAAUAUAUUGAAUUUAACAUGGACUUCAUUAAAGAGAAACUACGUAGUGACCUGAUAUGUACAUCACACAUGCCUAUUAACUCUUAACUUAUAGAUGUAUUGACCAAAGACUUGAUUGACUAGGUAUUAUAGACAAUUAUGGUCAAGCUUGGAAUAGGUAAUGUCUAUAACUCAGCUUAAAAGGGAGUGUUAGAACAUGUAUACCAUCUUUAAUUAACUAGUGCUAAAUUAGGUUAUAAGAUAUAGUGGUGAAAUACAUCCCUGUGAAGUAAUUGUCACUUUCCUUUUUUGUUCACAAGAAUAUAUACAUAUAUAUAGACAUGAUAUUUAAUAGAAUACACAACAAAUUAUUCUUAACAGGAGCCAAUAUCAAUAGUGUUUGCUUGCUCCUUACCUUUCAGUUGUUUUGCUCAUCUCUUCCUAACAAUUGGUACACCUAUUUAAGAGAAUUAAUAUGGUUAUAAAAUUACCUCCUUUCGCCAUCUUUAGUGCGUAAAGGUUCAUCUUCAUGUGCAACUGGUUAAUAGAGUAAAUGCAUAACUCCUCUGUAAUUUGAUCAACAAUGUCUUUGGUAUUGUAUCCUCCAGCAAGCUAUACUUAAUUUUCAGGAGCGAGUGAAUACUGACCAAUUUUGUUGCAUAAAUAGUCUUCAUUUUCAGGAUUUUCAUCUUCAAAAGCCAUCUCAAGAUUUUGUCGGACAAGCAAAUGUUUUACCAUACACUAUCACAGGGUAAAAUUGAUUUUUCUAUUGAAGACCAAGACAUCAAAGUUUGUGCAGUUCGCUAUCAUAAUAACCCACACAAUAAUUUGAAAGGUGGUUGAUGGCGUGGCAAUGACCACUGGCAAAACUCUCAUUUUGUGCAUAGACUCACCUUUGAUCCCCUUUUCAACAAGCACAAGAACUUGACAACCUUGGUUUUUGUACUAGUUGUUGGGGAUGCUUUCACACCAGAAAUAAUAAAAUAAAAGGAGAGAACAAGAACACACGAAUUAAUUUGGUUUGAUCCAUAACCUACACCAAUGGGAACAUUGACAAUAUUGGAAUCUACAACGAGAAAAUGUGUAAACACUGCAAAAUCUUUUAUUAUUUCUUGAAACUAGAUUGCGAAGUAUAGGGGAAAAGAUCAGUCUUAUAUGAAUCUCAAUGACUCACACUCUUCAACCCCUCUUCUCUUUUUGCCGUUCACCACACGCUACUUACCACACAGACACACUGCUUUUAUAGGAGAAAGGAACAAGAAAGAAGGUUGUUGGGGAUGAAGAAUAAAUGGAGCCAUGAAGUGGGGUGGCUGAAAAUUGACCAUCAUCCGCACGAGUUAAAAGUCAACAACGAAUAUGUUAAUCCUCAGGGAAGACUCCUGAUUCCUUCACUUUAAGUAAUGCUUUGAGGGCCUCUAUUGGAGGUAGUGGUCUCAUGAAGGUUAGUCAAGUACAUGGAUUGAUCAUCAAACUAGGUUUUGGAGCACAUAGCAUGCUAGCUGGAUCCCUCAUUGAUGCUUGCGCAAAAUGUGGAAGCACCAAGAGCGCUUAUCAGUUAUACAAGAUAAUGAUAGAAAAGGAUAUAAUUUCUUGUACUGCUUUAAUAGCUGCAUUUGCACGUUUAGGCGGAUACACAAAGGAUGCAUUCAAUCUUUUCGAAGAUGUAAAGUUAAUGCAGAUGAGAGUAGAUGAUGUUAUAUUAUGCUCCAUCCUUAAUAUAUGUGCCAAUACUGCAUCUUUAAGUUUUGGGAGACAAAUACAUGCUUUUGCUUUAAAAAGUCAACCUAGUUAUGAUGUGGCAAUGGGAAAUGCUCUCAUUGAUAUGUAUGCCAAAUCUGGAGAAGUUGAAGAUGCUACCCCCUUGCUUUUAAUGAGAUGAGAGAGAGAUAUGUGAUUUCUUGGACAUCAUUGAUUGCAGGAUAUGGGAAGCAUGGAUAUGCAGAUAAAGCAAUUGCACUAUAUAAGAAGAUGGAAUGUCAAGGCGUGAAACCAAAUGACAUCACAUUCUUAUCCCUCCUUUUCGGUUGUAGCCAUACUGGAUUGAUUGGCGAAGGAUGGAAGAUAUUCAAUACUAUGGUUAGCAAAUACAAUAUUUCACUUAGAGCUGAGCAUUGUUCUUGCAUUAUAGAUCUUUUUGCAUGUGGAGGGCAGUUAGAACUAGCUUAUUCUUUGAUAAGUGAAUGAAUAUAAAGCCUAGCCCAUCACUUUGGGGUUCUCUUCUUGGAGCAUGUAGAAUCUAUGAAAACGUGGCU